GGGUAUAUAGCUCAACUGAUAGAGUGCCUGCUUAGCAUGCAUGAGGUUCUGUGUUCAAUCCCCAGUACCUCCA
This 73-nucleotide transfer RNA is filed under the name Camelus bactrianus (Bactrian camel). It matches the Rfam family "tRNA". Rfam says of the family: Transfer RNA (tRNA) molecules are approximately 80 nucleotides in length. Their secondary structure includes four short double-helical elements and three loops (D, anti-codon, and T loops). The record is from Rfam by way of RNAcentral. RNAcentral also lists the same sequence under 2 other names. Lineage: Eukaryota; Metazoa; Chordata; Mammalia; Artiodactyla; Camelidae.